Long non-coding RNA from Dermochelys coriacea (leatherback sea turtle), 195 nucleotides. RefSeq lists it as uncharacterized. The record is from RefSeq and is a predicted model, not a curated record. The transcript is spliced from 3 exons. NCBI's taxonomy places the organism in Eukaryota, Metazoa, Chordata, Testudines, Dermochelyidae.
CUGAGGGCCAGGUUGGGUUGCAAAACAGUAUGUAGGGCUGGGUAGGGAAGGCUGUGCCUCCCCAAACAGCCUGGCCCCCGCCCCCUAUCCACCCUAUCCCACUUCCUGCCACCUGACUGCCCCGCUCAGAAUCCCCAAUCCAUCCAACCCCCCCACUCCUUGUCCCCUGACUACCCCCUCCCACAACCCCCUGCC